This 302-nucleotide ribosomal RNA is filed under the name uncultured bacterium. RNAcentral's name for it is "partial 16S ribosomal RNA". It matches the Rfam family "Bacterial small subunit ribosomal RNA", at positions 508 to 809 of the family's 1533-position model. The record is from RNAcentral.
GCAGCCGCCGCGGGAAUACGUAGGUGGCAAGCGUUGUCCGGAAUUAUUGGGCGUAAAGGGCUCGCAGGCGGUUUCUUAAGUCUGAUGUGAAAGCCCCCGGCUCAACCGGGGAGGGUCAUUGGAAACUGGGAAACUUGAGUGCAGAAGAGGAGAGUGGAAUUCCACGUGUAGCGGUGAAAUGCGUAGAGAUGUGGAGGAACACCAGUGGCGAAGGCGACUCUCUGGUCUGUAACUGACGCUGAGGAGCGAAAGCGUGGGGAGCGAACAGGAUUAGAUACCCGAGUAGUCCCUGUCUCUUAUAA